RNAcentral lists this ribosomal RNA (253 nucleotides) under uncultured bacterium. RNAcentral describes it as "partial 16S ribosomal RNA". It matches the Rfam family "Bacterial small subunit ribosomal RNA", at positions 524 to 776 of the family's 1533-position model. The record is from RNAcentral.
UACGUAGGAUGCAAGCGUUAUCCGGAAUGAUUGGGCGUAAAGCGUCCGCAGGUGGCAGUUCAAGUCUGCUGUCAAAGACCGGGGCUUAACUUCGGAAAGGCAGUGGAAACUGAACAGCUAGAGUAUGGUAGGGGCAGAGGGAAUUCCUGGUGUAGCGGUGAAAUGCGUAGAUAUCAGGAGGAACACCGGUGGCGAAGGCGGGUCUCUGGGCCGAUACUGACGCUGAGGAGCGAAAGCGUGGGGAGCGAACAGG